This 337-nucleotide unclassified non-coding RNA is filed under the name soil metagenome. RNAcentral describes it as "partial contains 5.8S ribosomal RNA, internal transcribed spacer 2, and large subunit ribosomal RNA". The stretch from base 1 to 120 matches the Rfam family "5.8S ribosomal RNA", at positions 35 to 154 of the family's 154-position model. The record is from RNAcentral.
GAUGAAGAACGUAGCGAAAUGCGAUAAGUAAUGUGAAUUGCAGAAUUCAGUGAAUCAUCGAAUCUUUGAACGCACAUUGCGCCCGCCAGUAUUCUGGCGGGCAUGCCUGUUCGAGCGUCAUUUCAACCAUCAAGCCCCCGGCUUGUGUUGGGGACCUGCGGCUGCCCGCAGGCCCUGAAAACCAGUGGCGGGCUCGCUGUCACUCCGAGCGUAGUAGCAUAUAUCUCGCUCAGGGCGUGCUGCGGGUUCCGGCCGUUAAAAGCCUUUUUUUACCCAAGGUUGACCUCGGAUCAGGUAGGAAGACCCGCUGAACUUAAGAAUAUCAAUAAGCGGAGGA